Molecule: ribosomal RNA, 469 nt
Filed under: uncultured bacterium
Lineage: Bacteria
Description: partial 16S ribosomal RNA
Rfam family: Bacterial small subunit ribosomal RNA
Source: RNAcentral
UGGGGAAUUUUGGACAAUGGGCGAAAGCCUGAUCCAGCAAUGCCGCGUGUGUGAAGAGGGCCUUCGGGUUGUAAAGCACUUUUGUCCGGAAAGAAAUCCUUGGCUCUAAUACAGUCGGGGGAUACGGUACCGGAAGAAUAAGCACCGGCUAACUACGUGCCAGCAGCCGCGGUAAUACGUAGGGUGCAAGCGUUAAUCGGAAUUACUGGGCGUAAAGCGUGCGCAGGCGGUUUGCUAAGACCGAUGUGAAAUCCCCGGGCUCAACCUGGGAACUGCAUUGGUGACUGGCAGGCUAGAGUAUGGCAGAGGGGGGUAGAAUUCCACGUGUAGCAGUGAAAUGCGUAGAGAUGUGGAGGAAUACCGAUGGCGAAGGCAGCCCCCUGGGCCAAUACUGACGCUCAUGCACGAAAGCGUGGGGAGCAAACAGGAUUAGAUACCCUGGUAGUCCACGCCCUAAACGAUGUCAACU